UACGUAGGGUCCGAGCGUUAAUCGGAAUUACUGGGCGUAAAGCGUGCGCAGGCGGUUUUGUAAGCCAGAUGUGAAAUCCCCGGGCUUAACCUAGGAAUUGCGCUUGAGACUGGAUAGCUUGGAGUGCGGCAGAGGGAGGUGGAAUUCCACGUGUAGCAGUGAAAUGCGUAGAGAUGUGGAGGAACACCGAUGGCGAAGGCAGCCUCCUGGGCCAGCACUGACGCUCAUGCACGAAAGCGUGGGGAGCAAACAGG
Molecule: ribosomal RNA, 254 nt
Filed under: uncultured bacterium
Lineage: Bacteria
Description: partial 16S ribosomal RNA
Rfam family: Bacterial small subunit ribosomal RNA
Source: RNAcentral